RNAcentral lists this ribosomal RNA (468 nucleotides) under uncultured bacterium. RNAcentral's name for it is "partial 16S ribosomal RNA". It matches the Rfam family "Bacterial small subunit ribosomal RNA", at positions 28 to 507 of the family's 1533-position model. The record is from RNAcentral.
GACGAACGCUGGCGGCGUGCUUAACACAUGCAAGUCGAACGGAAAGGCCCUGCUUUUGUGGGGUGCUCGAGUGGCGAACGGGUGAGUAACACGUGAGUAACCUGCCCUUGACUUUGGGAUAACUUCAGGAAACUGGGGCUAAUACCGGAUAGGAGCUCCUGCUGCAUGGUGGGGGUUGGAAAGCUUCGGCGGUUGGGGAUGGACUCGCGGCUUAUCAGCUUGUUGGUGGGGUAGUGGCUUACCAAGGCUUUGACGGGUAGCCGGCCUGAGAGGGUGACCGACCACAUUGGGACUGAGAUACGGCCCAGACUCCUACGGGAGGCAGCAGUGGGGAAUAUUGCACAAUGGGCGGAAGCCUGAUGCAGCAACGCCGCGUGCGGGAUGACGGCCUUCGGGUUGUAAACCGCUUUCGCCUGUGACGAAGCGUGAGUGACGGUAAUGGGUAAAGAAGCACCGGCUAACUACGUG